UACGUAGGGGGCUAGCGUUGUCCGGAUUUAUUGGGCGUAAAGAGCGUGUAGGCGGCCAGGUAGGUCUGCUGUGAAAUCCCGAGGCUCAACCUCGGGCCUGCAGUGGGUACGGGCAGACUGGAGUGCGGUAGGGGAGAAUGGAAUUCCUGGUGUAGCGGUGGAAUGCGCAGAUAUCAGGAGGAACACCGAUGGCGAAGGCAGUUCUCUGGGCCGUAACUGACGCUGAGGAGCGAAAGCGUGGGGAGCGAACAGG
RNAcentral lists this ribosomal RNA (253 nucleotides) under uncultured bacterium. Its description in RNAcentral is "partial 16S ribosomal RNA". It matches the Rfam family "Bacterial small subunit ribosomal RNA", at positions 524 to 776 of the family's 1533-position model. The record is from RNAcentral.